ACGGAAACAGUUUAACCGUAGAUCAUUCACUAUUCCCACUUUGGUCACACUGGGCACCUAGCAAAAUAUCUACAUAGCACUACUACUUAUUGUCGACAACCAAUUUAGCUGAUCUGGAUGUUAAUAUAUGGAUGAAAUUGAUGAAACAAUUUUUAAAUGUUGCUAAUGAUUCAUCUGGAGGAUAGAUGGCAUAAAUUGAAUAAUGCGUUUUUAAGUGACGCAUUCUUCAGUAAAUUGUGCAAUUGUCUGGGCAGCUCAAUUUAGAAAACACAAGCCAGCAGGACAAGAUCUUGGGGCGAGGCGUAUAUUAGGCCUGGGCCUUGCGUGAGCUCAACAAUCUGUAAAUCCAGAGUGAGUCGUCAAGUAAGAGGGUAUCUCUCUGAGCUACAUGCCGCUGCAAUUGGACUCUCCCCCAAUCCAUUGAUUGUCCGCCUCAUUUAUUUGAUUGAAUUGAUAUGGCGUCGCUACAAGAUGUCUGUCAUCUGGUUCACAGUGCUGGCUCUCGCGAGGGUUGAAACAAGACCCUUAAAUUCGUCACGCCAGCACUCCAACCCACACAUCCAUUCAAAUCCGAACUUCACAUAUAAAUUUAAAACACCACACACCGAAUGAAGCGGAAUAGCAUGGGGACAGAAAAUUGUGUUGUUUUGGGCAAUGGAUUUUCAAUAUUACGUCUACUGUUCUGGUAUCAUGUUCACACAUCGUGGUGAGGAAUGGGGGGCUCGAUUGGUCUCUCCAGUCAAUUUAUGAAGCAGUGCCUGGCAUUUAAUAUUUACCCGAUACAUAAGUAGAAAAAACAUACAUACGUACAUAGUGUGUUCGCUUACUUACAAGGUUUCUGGGGAUGAGAGAGUACGGAGCUUUUCACACUUUCCGGGCGGGUUGCGGUUCACGAGCGCAGUUCAAGAGCGUCAGAAAAGUCGUUUCCGAAUAGCUGCCGGCAUCAGCAACACUCUUCAAGUGGUCCCACAGGCCAAGAAAUACUUCAAAAUAAAAAAAAUUGUAUUCGUCUGAAUGGAUUUUCGACUGAGAACUCUCCAGAAAUACAUCUGCUGUGUCUCACUCACUUCAGCGGCACUGUCAGAUUCUGAUUGUCCUACUUGUCGGGAGUUCGUGAAUUAUAUGAUUGUCUGAUUGUCGGUAUAUGCUGCUCAUGUAUCCGCUGGCGGUUCCAUUACGCUGCAGGUGCAUCCCAGCGACGAUGGAGAGGAGCAGCCACUGGUGCUGAACAUUCGCGACUCCACGGAGAUGUUGCCCAUCACUGUGCGGGAUUCCAUCAAGCAACUGCAACGGGCCCACAUGCGGAAUGAUUCCCUAGAGUUCGACUACAUCAAACUGACGACAAUCAUCAUCAUCAACGUCGUCGUCUAAUCGUCUUGAUCAAUCUAAUCUUCGAGUGGCCAGGGAUGUCUGGGUUGGGCGGGGUGUGUGUUAAAUGUACAAAUUCAAAUGGAAAUGUAAAUCCAAUGUUUAUGUUUAUACCACCCAAUUAUCUGCUGAAACCCUGUGGAACCUACAGGGGAUGGAGGUGGUACUUGGAAAUAUGUAGUUGGGGACAUGCCCGUAAAUACUUAUGUAUGUGAGUACAUCAAAACUGGAUCUAUUUUAAGCAGCCCCUCGCGACAGGCGGCAGUCAAACAAACGGGUGUUGCUUGUACCACAUUCAGAUGGUACAUCAGCUUGCAAGACAACGGCGAAAUGCACUAUGGACCAGUCAGAAAGUGGCCCAGGGGAAAUCCCACAGUCUGUGGAUGGGGACCAUAUGCGAUGUAAUGCUAUUUUCGGAAACGAGAGUUUCCAUCGAUGUGAAAUACCUGCUGCCUUACGACGUCGCAACAGUCGAGUUAAGCCUUCAGAUGAGUGUUCCAGAACGAAAUUAAGAAUUAGUUUAUGGCACGACUUUACUCAGACAUAGGGCAUUUUCAGCCCCCCCGCCCAGCGAUAGCAUCUCUAUAGCCACCCCAACCGCACUUCAAAGAUGUCGUGCUUCACACAUUUCAUAGUGUGUUUUUAUCAAAAUUUUUCGAAACACAAAAAGCAGCAAUGUCCCCAUGGUUGUGACGACCGUUUUUAUUGAACAAAUAUUUAGAGUACCUUAUCCGGAUAGUGGGGAUUAGUUAGUAUCUUCCCUUCAUAAAUAGGUGCGCCUUCAGGCAGCAUCGCUGAGGAUCUCUGUGGAGCAUAAAGAAAACAAAAGGCGGAUUUAGUGCUAGUUGACCUUCAGGGACAAAAGCAGGGAGAUAUUCAAAUGUGCUGCCAGAUCUCAAGCUUAUAUACAAAAAUUCAACGGAACAAGGUUGAUCUCAGUACUUCCGCCUUGAUGAUGUAGGUAUCCUAUCCGAGGGGUAAUUGAUUGGCUAAAUUGUAAAUUCGAAAUUCUAGUUAUUGCCUCAUUUGCGUGACUCUUGACUCAUUCUGCGGGCUGCAGACAAAAUGCAAUCGCUUAAGUCGUGGUGCUUGCCACACUACAGCACAGUUUGAGAGCUGGUCCCUCUAGAUGGAGCUGACUUUGAUAAUAAUAGAUAAACAAAAGCGGUUCGGUUGAGCCGUUUUGGGAGUGCAGAAGAGUGAAAGAGCUUACUUAGCCCAUGCCGCACAGAAUGUGUGUGUCAUCGGACAAGGGGUGCGCCUAUUAAAGCCAUAAUCGCGUAGAAGCGGUCAGGCAGGUAAAUUCAUAGGUUGCGACCAAGGGAUGCUAGGUGUUCACUUUUGCUUCUAUUUGAAUAAAUUGAAUUUCGAGUUUUUUUUAAAUUUUAGUCUCCAAAAAAAGGCCCUGUCUAUAUGCCAUAUACUGCUAGCACUUGAUUUCAAGUGAAAUGUGAAAUGAAGAAUCCGCAACAUUACAUUCUAUCCGGCCCAUUGCCUUCAUUAGUUGUGUAUCAGUCCAGAACUGUCCGACGGAAUGGAAUGGAAAGGGCUUUCGAAUGUGUUAAUGUGUUCCCUUGACAGACGAGGCAUCAGCAGUUUGACUGUACUAUACUCUGAAAGGCAAUGACUUGCCGAACUCCCUCAAGCACAUGGUAUCAAUGCACGCAAUGUGUCCAUACGGUACGUAACGAUUUCCCUGAACCAAGUUAAUAAAGUAGAAAUUACAUAUAGUAGAAGUAAACGAUCCUUUAUGUUAUAUUAGUUGGCCAAUCAAGCGUU
Molecule: long non-coding RNA, 3147 nt
Organism: Drosophila obscura
Lineage: Eukaryota; Metazoa; Arthropoda; Insecta; Diptera; Drosophilidae
Exons: 3
Source: RefSeq, a predicted model, not a curated record